GAUGAACGCUGGGCGGGAGGCUUAACACAUGCAAGUCGAGGGGCAGCAUAGGGUAGCAAUACUCUGAUGGCGACCGGCAAACGGGUGAGUAACGCGUAUGCAACCUACCCUGUACAGGGGGAUAACCCGGAGAAAUUCGGACUAAUAUCCCGUAAUAAUAUCCGGAGGCAUCUUUGGAUAUUUAAAGUUCCGACGGUACGGGAUGGGCAUGCGUAACAUUAACUGGUUGGUAAGGUAACGGCUUACCAAGGCUAUGAUGUUUAGGGGUCCUGAGAGGGUGGUCCCCACACUGGUACUGAGACACGGACCAGACUCCUACGGGAGGCAGCAGUGAGGAAUAUUGGUCAAUGGGCGCAAGCCUGAACCAGCCAUCCCGCGUGCAGGAAGACGGCCCUAUGGGGUUGUAAACUGCUUUUCCAGGGAGAGAAACUUACGCACGUGUUGCGUGACUGACGGUACCCUGGGAAUAGCAUCGGCUAACUCCGUGCCAGCAGCCGCGGUAAAGUCACGUCG
This 513-nucleotide ribosomal RNA is filed under the name uncultured bacterium. RNAcentral describes it as "bacterial SSU rRNA". It matches the Rfam family "Bacterial small subunit ribosomal RNA", at positions 28 to 530 of the family's 1533-position model. The record is from RNAcentral.